Long non-coding RNA from Chinchilla lanigera (long-tailed chinchilla), 1752 nucleotides. RefSeq lists it as uncharacterized. NCBI's taxonomy places the organism in Eukaryota, Metazoa, Chordata, Mammalia, Rodentia, Chinchillidae. The record is from RefSeq and is a predicted model, not a curated record. The transcript is spliced from 4 exons.
AAAAAACCUGUGAUCAACCAAUAAGAUUACAAGUAUAGCUGCUUAGGUGAUACUGAUCCAGUGGAAAGCAGGUCACAUAACAAGUGUACAUGGAAAAAAACAAGGACCUUCCUUGGAAGAGAUGAAUCAAGAGAUCCUGGUCUCCCAGCUGGGUGACUGAUAUCUAUCCAGACUUUGUUGGGUUAGGUAAUACUAAUUACAGCAUACUGCUUAUUCUUCAGGGAGGCAUGUAGGCCUGGUCAUUCCUUCUUUAUCUUGAGCCCUGCUCUUCAAUAGAUUUGCCUCCAGCCAGAGUUAUAAUGCAUUUUCAUCCUCUGCACUGGCUCCUUCAAGGGCCUAGUGUUGUUUACUGACUGUAAUAUUUCUACCUAACGUAGCUGUCUUUAAUAGUCCCAUUUCUCUGUAUCCUAUUCAUUACAAAAUCUUGUUUUAUCAACUAGUCAUUGUCUUUAUUCUAGCUCCCACAAUUUUCUGAGUAUGUCCAAGGUGCUAUCAUUUUUCAUCCUAACGGAUUCACACACUUGUUGUAAUAGCACUUUUGCUAUCGUAGUAGUGGUGAUUUGGAAGGGAGAGAAAAAAAGACCCAAAUCUAUAUAUAAGUGGAGAAAGGGAGAAAAAGAGGCAGCAGAGGAGAGAUGAUUAGAAUCUUUACUUCUAUAUCAUUAAAGCAGUUUUUAAAACUCAGCAGCACAAUCUUUCACAGUUUCCUUUCUAUUUUUCUGAUGCUUCCUGAAAUAUUAGCAAAGAUUGUGCUUGUAGAUCAGGAUCUACAUUCCUGCUAGCUAUGAAAUAGUAGGCACGUUACGGGACCUCUUGCACUUCAGUUUGCUCAUUUUACUUAAAAGAGAAAAUUUAUGUAAAUGUUGGUAUCAACCAGCAGCUAAUUAAGAAAACAAAUCUAAUCGUCUUACCAGAAUUUAAUGUAAGAAAUCUGUUUAAAAGUUGUUAAGUGAGCUGAGAAAAUAAAAAGGAAACAGAAAUAACAUAGAAACAGUCACUGCAGGAAAGCGCUACCACCCCCAGAGCCACGGAAUAGAAAAGUCUGAGUUAUUAGAACCCAGAGUCUGGAGUAAAUGCUUCAUCAGUGAACUCAGAUCUGUGGUGGGGGGAGGUUCCCAGGGGCAUAUUCUGGGAGUGCAGAAAAAAAAAUAGAACUGGAAAAACAAUGUCUGUUCCUGAAACCACACUUCCAGAAAGAACAAAAACAUGUACAGAGUCAAAUUUCUUCUUCUUUCCCAUCCCCUUUGCCUGUUCUUGUUUCCCGGUGUCACAAAGCAGAGGAAAGAGGGCUGUGUUUGAAGUUGACACUGCUUAAAUAAGUGGAAGGAACGUGCUGCACAGUGCGAAGAAUGCAUUAGACUAUGCGGUAAUGAAAGAAGCUGAAAUAGAGAGGAGGAUAAGGAAUCAUAGCAGCAGAGCACCUUCAGGAACCAAGGAAGAAGAGAUGUCAGAGGCAAAGAAUUUGAAUGAACACUAGAGAAAGAAAAAGUAUAUGAAGGUGUAUUUACACUUGAAAAUCUAAGAUCUUUUCGUAAGAAGUCAAGCUGAUAGCAGUUGGCCCUGUAUCCAUGAAAGGCAGUCUGCAGAAGAUAUCCCCAAAGCACAAAGCUGGGCUCUAUUUGACAUGGAUUUGAGACCUCAGUCAUGAAACAAAUUGCUGGAGAUGACGUAGUGGGUUCCUGCAGGACCCUUGUGGGGAACAGUGCUUUCUUGUUGCUGGAACCUCGGGAAGCCAUAUUGAUACACUUUGUA